AGAGUUUGAUCAUGGCUCAGGAUGAACGCUAGCGGCAGGCAUAAUACAUGCAAGACGAACGGUAAUCCCGCCAGCAAUGGCGGGACUAGAGUGUCGUACGGGUGCGUAACACGUAUGCAACCUACCUUGUACAGGAGUAUAGCUCCCCGAAAGGGGAAUUAACCCUCCAUAAGAUCGUAUUCAGGCAUCUGGAAGCGAUAAAAACUGCGGUGGUACAAGAUGGGCAUGCGUUUGAUUAGUUAGUUGGUGAGGGUAAAGGCCCACCAAGACGAUGAUCAAUAGGGGACCUGAGAGGGUGAUCCCCCACACUGGCACUGAGAUACGGGCCAGACUCCUACGGGAGGCAGCAGUAGGGAAUAUUGGACAAUGGGUGAGAGCCUGAUCCAGCCAUGCCGCGUGCAGGAAGAAGGCGUUAUGCGUUGUAAACUGCUUUAGCCAGGGGAUAAAACGGCUCUGCGGAGCUAAUUGAAGGUACCUGGAUAAUAAGCCACGGCUAACUACGUGCCAGCCGCCGCGGUAAUAC
This 523-nucleotide ribosomal RNA is filed under the name uncultured bacterium. RNAcentral's name for it is "bacterial SSU rRNA". It matches the Rfam family "Bacterial small subunit ribosomal RNA", at positions 8 to 526 of the family's 1533-position model. The record is from RNAcentral.